This 449-nucleotide ribosomal RNA is filed under the name uncultured bacterium. RNAcentral describes it as "partial 16S ribosomal RNA". It matches the Rfam family "Bacterial small subunit ribosomal RNA", at positions 29 to 523 of the family's 1533-position model. The record is from RNAcentral.
AACGAACGCUGGCGGCAGGUUUAAUACAUGCAAGUCGAGCGCUGUAGCAAUACAGAGCGGCAGACGGGUGAGUAACGCGUGGGAAUGUGCCCUUUGGUCAGGAAUAACACAGGGAAACUUGUGCUAAUACCAGAUAAGCCCGAAAGGGGAAAGAUUUAUCGCGAAAGGAUCAGCCCGCGUUGGAUUAGCUAGUUGGUGAGGUAAUGGCUCACCAAGGCUACGAUCUAUAGCUGAUCUGAGAGGAUGAGCAGCCACACUGGGGCUGAGACACGGCCCAGACUCCUACGGGAGGCAGCAGUAGGGAAUAUUGGACAAUGGGGGAAACCCUGAUCCAGCCAUGCCGCGUGAGUGAUGAAGGCCUUAGGGUUGUAAAGCUCUUUUACCUGGGAAGAUAAUGACUGUACCAGGAGAAUAAGCCCCGGCUAACUUCGUGCCAGCAGCCGCCGUAA